This 1855-nucleotide long non-coding RNA is filed under the name Mus musculus (house mouse). RNAcentral's name for it is "RIKEN cDNA A530083I20 gene". Lineage: Eukaryota; Metazoa; Chordata; Mammalia; Rodentia; Muridae. The record is from RNAcentral.
CAGCGGGGCUUGAACACAGGCCCGCGGCUGGGUCGUCCUGGGAGAGCCUGGUCCCCGAGAGCCUUGGCAGGUCCUGUCAUCGCCCCACCCCGCACAGGAGAUGCUGGACAAAGGCAGGCACCCCUGAGACCCAGGACGGCACCACCCACGGGAGCCACUCGCUCCUGGAGCCCAAUGCCCAGGGCGUACCCCUCACCGAACCACACGCAGUCCUCCGAACAAAGCCGGCGAGUGGCAACAGAGACUUGCAUGCCUUCCUUGCGCCUGAGGCCCUUCUAGGCAACGGGAGGUCUCCGCAUCUCUGUACCAAGGCCAAGUCGUCCAGCUGACACGCCCCUCAGUCCCUCAGGCCCUUCUAGGCAGCCGGAGGUCUCAGCAUCUCUGUGCCCCAGGGCUGAGCUGUCCAGGUUCCUUAGAAGCUCUGAAGCGCUGCAGAUGCCCUGGCUUCCAGACAUCACUAUUAUUAACUCGGUGGACAGUCGUGGAGAGUUCAGCCAAGGCCUCAGGUAGCACGGGGAGAGAAACCAAUAGCCUGGUCAGCCAGGCCUCUUCCGGAUACUGGGCUUCUCAGAGACAACCCCUAGCCUCACAGUCAGAUUCGGCUAUUUAUUGCAGCAGGUGAAAAUACAUAAUGUUAGGACACCACCAACAGACCAAGAAUUACAGGAAAAUACAUGAGAGAUUCCUUAUAAGAACAUGGACGAGUCAGGGGCAGCAUCAUCACUGGAAACCACACUCUAGCAUGGACAGAUGGAGUAAUCUGUGAACUCUCCGAGAGUACACAAGAGCACAGGACACUUUCCUGCGGUCCUUACUGUGCCGAGUGCUAAGCGGCAGGUCUCGCUGCACGUCUAAUCUGCGAGCUCGCGUGGGGCUCACUCCAGAGUCACGGUCCUGCCUCGGUAGCCGCUCACCUGGCCGCGUCUGCCCCGUGCAGCGCUGACGCACGGGAGCCAACAACUCGAGCCGACCCCAAGCCGAGCGACCACAACACGAGGACGACGCGGCUCCGCCUCGGGUAAGCACCCCGGCACCGCCCGCGUCGCGGCCCGAGUGCGGGCCGCACUUUCCACCGCGUCGCCACCGUCAUGCGUGACGGCUCAACGGCCCCACACACCUCCAGGACACUAGGAAAUGGCAACGACGGCGGGACGGGAAGCAUGAGAGCAUCACUUCCGGUACCUCCUGGAUUCCGGAAGUCUUGGUUGCCAAGAGAAACAACAUUCUUACUCCAGGAUGACACGAGCUUCCCCCUCUACCCUGUUCUGCUGUCAGGAGGUCCAGCAUCCUUCUAUUUCGUAGUACAACCCUGGGAGUGGUGGUCAUCUGUAUCUGGGGAAUAAUUAUAACAGGAAUGCUGAGGUAGGGGCCCCUCAAAGAGGGGGACCUCCUAUGAGGGUUUAUUAAAGGAGAAACCUGGGUCUGAGGAGGAACCAUGCGAGGUAGCAUGAACAGGAGUCAUUACUAAGAGGGGAUCCAAAAGGGAUGCACAGAAAAAACAUAGAGAGGCAUUUUAGAUGGGAUGUGAGGAGCAAUAAUAGAUCAGAAGCGCAUUGAACAUGUUGUAGCCAGGAUUGGGCAUUUCUUCUCAGUUGUAUUUCCUGUUCAAGAAUGGUUUUAUGGGUUCAUGUGGACUGCUCCAGGUAUCGAGAGAUAUGAGCAGAGGGGCAUGCAGCGCAACUGGUGGGAUAUAGCUUCCCCAUGAUUCCCAUUCUCCAUAUUUCAUCCCAGGGGUCAUCUAUAACAAUGAGACAGUUAUUCAGGUUUUGAAAUAGGCUAUUUCUUUCUUUCUUCUUUAUGUAAAACCAUCAAUUUGUAUUUAUUUAAUAUACAUUGUAAGGGUUCAAGCAGACUU